AAUAUUGGACAAUGGGCGACAGCCUGAUCCAGCCAUGCCGCGUGUGUGAAGAAGGUCUCCGGCGUGAAAAGCACUUCAAGCUGGGAGGAAGGGCAGCAAGUUAAUACCUUGCUGUGUUGACGUUACCGACAGAACAAGCACCGGCUAACCCUGUGCCAGCAGCCGCGGUAAUACAGAGGGUGGAAGCGUUAAUCGGAAUUACUGGGAGUAAAGCGCGCGUAGGUGGUUCAGUAAGAUUGGUGUGAAAUCCCCGGGCUCACCCUGGGAACUACUUUCAUAACUGCUGAGCUAGAGUACGGUAGAGGGUGGUGGAAUUUCCUGUGUAGGGGUGAAAUGCGUAGAUAUAGGAAGGAACGCCAGUGGCGAAGGCGACUACCUGGACUGAUACUGACACUGAGGUGCGAGAGCGUGGGGAGCAAAC
RNAcentral lists this ribosomal RNA (421 nucleotides) under uncultured bacterium. RNAcentral's name for it is "partial 16S ribosomal RNA". It matches the Rfam family "Bacterial small subunit ribosomal RNA", at positions 360 to 773 of the family's 1533-position model. The record is from RNAcentral.